ACUACGGGUGGCUGCAGUAGGGAAUAUUGCUCAAUGGGGGAAACCCUGAAGCAGCAACGCCGCGUGGAGGAUGAAGGUUUUAGGAUUGUAAACUCCUUUUGUGCGAGAAGAUAAUGAUGGUAUCUCACGAAUAAGCACCGGCUAACUCCGUGCCAGCAGCCGCGGUAAUACGGAGGGUGCAAGCGUUACUCGGAAUUACUGGGCGUAAAGAGUGCGCAGGCGGGCUGGUAAGUCCGAUGUGAAAUCCUCGAGCUGAAAUACAGAACUGCAUUUGAAACUAUGAGUCUUGAUGGUGGGAGAGGUAGGUGGAAUUCUUGGUGUAGGGGUAAAAUCCGUAGAUAUCAAGAGGAAGACUCAUUGCGAAGGCGACCUACUGGAACAUUACUGACGCUCAUGCACGAAAGCGUGGGGAGCAAACAGGAUUAGAUACCCCAGUAGUC
Molecule: ribosomal RNA, 440 nt
Filed under: uncultured bacterium
Lineage: Bacteria
Description: partial 16S ribosomal RNA
Rfam family: Bacterial small subunit ribosomal RNA
Source: RNAcentral